GUGUGUGUGUUUGUGUGUGUGGAUAUAUCUAUCUAUAUAUAUAUAUACAUAUAUAUAUAUAGAUAGAUAUAUAUAGAUAUAUCCACACACACACACGCGGCGUGUGU
Molecule: non-coding RNA, 107 nt
Organism: Pelobates cultripes (western spadefoot toad)
Lineage: Eukaryota; Metazoa; Chordata; Amphibia; Anura; Pelobatidae
Source: the annotation of a GenBank genome assembly